This 678-nucleotide small RNA is filed under the name Pongo abelii (Sumatran orangutan). Its description in RNAcentral is "retained intron". The record is from RNAcentral. Lineage: Eukaryota; Metazoa; Chordata; Mammalia; Primates; Hominidae.
GCGGGAUGCGGCGCGCCGCGCGUGAACCUCCUUGGCCUGGGCGAAGCUGUGUGGACCAAGCAAGCCAGGAGUGUGGCCAUGUUUUCUGAGCAGGCUGCUCAGAGGGCCCACACUCUACUGUCCCCACCAUCAGCCAACAAUGCCACCUUUGCCCGGGUGCCAGUGGCAACCUACACCAACUCCUCGCAACCCUUCCGGCUAGGAGAGCGCAGCUUUAACCGGCAGUAUGCCCACAUUUAUGCCACCCGCCUCAUCCAAAUGAGACCCUUCCUGGAGAACCGGGCCCAGCAGCACUGGGGCAGUGGAGUGGGAGUGAAGAAGCUGUGUGAACUGCAGCCUGAGGAGAAGUGCUGUGUGGUGGGCACUCUGUUUAAGGCCAUGCCGCUGCAGCCCUCCAUCCUGCGGGAGAUCAGCGAGGAGCACAACCUGCUCCCCCAGCCUCCUCGGAGUAAAUACAUACACCCAGAUGACGAGCUGGUCUUGGAAGAUGAACUGCAGCGUAUCAAACUAAAAGGCACCAUUGACGUGUCAAAGCUGGUUACAGGUAGGGAGCCCAAUGAGGGGAUGAGGGUGAUGCAGGGACCGUCCUGGCUGUGUUUGGCUCCGUGAGAGACGACGGGAAGUUUCUGGUAGAGGACUAUUGCUUUGCUGACCUUGCUCCCCAGAAGCCCGCACCCC